This 1034-nucleotide long non-coding RNA is filed under the name Ananas comosus (pineapple). Its description in RNAcentral is "long non-coding RNA (ACOM_LNC011448)". Lineage: Eukaryota; Viridiplantae; Streptophyta; Magnoliopsida; Poales; Bromeliaceae. The record is from RNAcentral.
ACUCUAUGUAAUCGCACAAUUUCAUCAAUCCACAUCUCUGUAACUUAUCUCUUCCAUCAAUCCACUUAAGAUGGAUUCCUGUUUCACUAUUCAGCAUUAUAUCACAAUGCCUUGGUACCAUAUUUCACUCUGCCACUAGGCGAUAAUCCCAAUUCACAUUAAUGGAUGCUGUUCCAUGUCAGCUCUAAACUCAUACAUAUUCCACUAAUGUUGUCUCUAUAGUUUUACUGUUUCUUCUUUACAUCAAUCAUGAAGUAAAUCCUAACCAUUUCAUUACUGCAAAACUUUCCUCACCUACGCAAAUUCGAUUUCCAUUCAAUUCCAUGCAAGCUCAAGUUAGAGCUUCGCUUCUGCCAAAAUCACUAAUUGCUCCUAUAAGUAGAUCAAUUCAGAUAAACUUUCUUUGAUAAUAUUCUGAGAGUAUGAUACUCAAAGUAUUCAUUAUCCCAAAUCCAAAUUUAGGCAAUAGAGAGGAAUCAACUUAUACUUCAUCCAUAAAUUCUCUAUUGCUAUUACUCUACAUACUUUUCCAUGAAUAGGGAAGAAAUCUGAACAAAACCUUUCAUUAACCCACAAUUAGAGCAUCACUGUUUUCUUUUAAACCGUAUGAGAUUGAUCCUGAUAUAACCAUCAGUCAAAUCAAUAAUCCCCAAAGACUAGCCUCAUGCGGUUUAUUCUAUGAAGUGUAGUUCCAAUAUACAUAAACCAAAAUCAUAAGAGAAAGAAACAAGUAGCUAGGUAAUUUCUUUCUCAAUAAUCCAAAAUACUUAGUUCCAUUAGGAGAGUCUCAUCUUAAUCCUUUUAAUUUAUUGCUUAAUUACUCAGUAUCUGCCUUGCCAGUUUCGCCAAACAAACAACUGGACAAAUCCUUCAUAAUCUUUUCUAUUACAGAAAACUACAACUUCCUCAGAUUGCUGCUCAAUCUAUAAUAGUCACCCAAUACUAAAGGCUGAUUAAAACCAUCAGAUCUCAUCUUAAUCCAACUACUUAAUCGUGUUUCCAAUGGAAAUCACGAUAUUUGACACAUAGUCGAA